Molecule: ribosomal RNA, 260 nt
Filed under: uncultured prokaryote
Description: partial 16S ribosomal RNA
Rfam family: Bacterial small subunit ribosomal RNA
Source: RNAcentral
UACGGAGGAUGCGAGCGUUAUCCGGAUUUAUUGGGUUUAAAGGGUGCGUAGGCGGCUUUUUAAGUCAGCGGUGAAACUUUGCAGCUUAACUGUAACAGUGCCGUUGAUACUGGGGAGCUAGGAUUUGGUUGCUGUGGGUGGAAUGUGUGGUGUAGCGGUGAAAUGCUUAGAGAUCACACAGAAUAUCGAUUGCGAAGGCAGCUCACAAAGCCAAGAUUGACGCUGAGGCACGAAAGUGUGGGGAGUCAAACAGGAUUAGA